RNAcentral lists this ribosomal RNA (442 nucleotides) under uncultured bacterium. RNAcentral describes it as "partial 16S ribosomal RNA". It matches the Rfam family "Bacterial small subunit ribosomal RNA", at positions 338 to 795 of the family's 1533-position model. The record is from RNAcentral.
CCUACGGGAGGCAGCAGUGGGGAAUAUUGGACAAUGGGCGCAAGCCUGACCCAGCAACGCCGCGUGAAGGAAGAAGGCUUUCGGGUUGUAAACUUCUUUUAAGAGGGAAGAACAUAAGCCGGUACCUCUUGAAUAAGCCACGUCUAACUACGUGCCAGCCGCCGCGGUAAUACGUAGGUGGCACGCGGUGUCCGGCUUUACUGGGUGUAAAGGGCGUUCAGCCGGGAAGACAAGUCAGAUGUGAAAUCCCGCGGCGUAACGGCGGAACUGCAUUUGAAACUGGUUUUCUUGAGUACAGGAGAGGUAAGCGGAAUUCCUUGUGUAGCGGUGAAAUGCGUAGAUAUAAGGAAGAACACCAGUGGCGAAGGCGGAUGACUGGACGGCAACUGACGGUGAGGCGCGAAAGCGUGGGGAGCAAACAGGAUUAGAUACCCGGGUAGUC